RNAcentral lists this non-coding RNA (85 nucleotides) under Clostridium neonatale. Lineage: Bacteria; Bacillati; Bacillota; Clostridia; Eubacteriales; Clostridiaceae. The record is from RNAcentral.
GAACGCCGUGUGAGGUGAAAGUCUCACGCACGGUGUGGAAUGGGGGAAAAACCGGAGAUUGCUUCAAAGGUUUACCUAUCAUUAU